CACGUAGGCGGAUUUGUUAGUCAGGGGUGAAAUCCCGGGGCUCAACCUCGGAACUGCCUUUGAUACUGCAAGUCUCGAGUCCGGAAGAGGUGAGUGGAAUUCCUAGUGUAGAGGUGAAAUUCGUAGAUAUUAGGAAGAACACCAGUGGCGAAGGCGGCUCACUGGUCCGGUACUGACGCUGAGGUGCGAAAGUGUGGGGAGCAAACA
Molecule: ribosomal RNA, 207 nt
Filed under: uncultured bacterium
Lineage: Bacteria
Description: partial 16S ribosomal RNA
Rfam family: Bacterial small subunit ribosomal RNA
Source: RNAcentral